Long non-coding RNA from Mus musculus (house mouse), 761 nucleotides. RefSeq annotates it as predicted gene, 41009. Lineage: Eukaryota; Metazoa; Chordata; Mammalia; Rodentia; Muridae. The record is from RefSeq and is a predicted model, not a curated record. The transcript is spliced from 4 exons.
AAGCAGAUUCUGCUUUGCUCUAUUUGUGAAAGACAACUGGAUGAGUGGAGACUGCUAUGCGAUGAGACUACAAAUGUAUCUGAAAUUAGAGGCAGAGAUAAACCGUACCUCAUUUGUGCUGCUUCUGGUUGGACAGAGCCAUCACUGGAACAAGCACAGGACUCAUCUACUGGAAUGAAGUCGAAAAUCUACUCUGGUGUAUGGCGGUUUUGCUUGCAUUUAUAGCUGUGCAACAUGUAUGUAUAGUGCUGCAGAGGCCAGAAGAGGGCAUAGAAUCCUCUGGAACUGGACUAACAGAGGCCAGUCCAGAACCCUGAACAGAAGAAAAAGGCAUUAUGUGUCAACCAAACUCACACAACUAGCCAUCCGACCAACUAAUCAUUUACUAGAAUAUUCAUCCAGAAGCUCGCUGUGGAUCCCAAAUAAAUUUUGCACCAUGAAAUAACACUGCAAGGAAUGUAUCUUUGAAAAGCAUUUUUUUUUAAAAGUUUUUAUCCCUGACAACAAAACAGUAACACCCUCUGGCCAAAUGUAACAAUUGGAAACUUUUGUAUUUAAGAUAAAAUAACACAAAUUCUAUUCUAUGCCUAAUGUGAUGAAAGUCUAAAUAUUUUUAUUAAUAUUUUCUGCAAUUAUAAAUGUGUUUAUUGUCAGGUCUAUAAAAAUUAAAGAAGACUGCUAAAAAUAAUAUUCGCUAGUAGUAUAAAAAGAUGCCUUGACUUUUCUUUAUUCUUUUAAUAAUAAAGAUUAUCUUUAAAACC